GGGCUGUCGCUGACCCUUUGAAAGGUCGUGCACGCUNCGUAGUGCUCUCAGCACAUCCAUCUCACCCCUAUGUGCACCACCGCGUGGGUCCCCCUUCUGGCUCGNUCCGAGGGGGGCUCGCGUUUUCACACAAACUUGACGCAGUGUAGAAUGUCUUUUUUCUUUUGCGAUCACACGCAAUCAAUACAACUUUCAACAACGGAUCUCUUGGCUCUCGCAUCGAUGAAGAACGCAGUCGAAAUGCGAUACGUAAUGUGAAUUGCAGAAUUCAGUGAAUCAUCGAAUCUUUGAACGCACCUUGCGCCCCUUGGCAUUCCGAGGGGCACACCCGNUCUGAGUGUCGUGAAAUUCUCAAAACGCCUUUCUUUUUGGUCUUUCGAUCGAAGAAAGGCUUUUGGACUUGUGAGGCUUUUUGCUGGUUUCACCUUGAAGCGAGCUCCUCCUAAAUGAAUCAGUGGGGUCCGCUUUGCUGAUCCUUGACGNGAUAAGAUGUUUCUACGUCUUGGGUUUUGGCACUGUCCCUUGGGCACCUGCUUCAAACCGUCUCAUUGACAACGAUGGUGUUCCGGUCACCGCCGCUUCGUCGGCGGGAGGCUUGACCCACAAAUGAACCUUGACCUCAAAUCGGGUGAGACUACCCGCUGAACUUAAGCAUAUCAAUA
This 662-nucleotide ribosomal RNA is filed under the name uncultured Russula. Its description in RNAcentral is "eukaryotic LSU rRNA". The stretch from base 188 to 343 matches the Rfam family "5.8S ribosomal RNA". The record is from RNAcentral. Lineage: Eukaryota; Fungi; Basidiomycota; Agaricomycetes; Russulales; Russulaceae.